GACGAACGCUGGCGGCGUGCUUAACACAUGCAAGUCGAACGGAAAGGCCCUGCUUUUGCGGGGUGCUCGAGUGGCGAACGGGUGAGUAACACGUGAGUAACCUGCCCUUGACUUUGGGAUAACUUCAGGAAACUGGGGCUAAUACCGGAUAGGAGCUCCUGCUGCAUGGUGGGGGUUGGAAAGUUUCGGCGGUUGGGGAUGGACUCGCGGCUUAUCAGCUUGUUGGUGGGGUAGUGGCUUACCAAGGCUUUGACGGGUAGCCGGCCUGAGAGGGUGGCCGGCCACAUUAGGACUGAGAUACGGCCCAGACUCCUACGGGAGGCAACAGUGGAGAGUAUUACACAGUGGGCGGAAGCCUGAUGCAGCGACGCCGCGUGCGGGAUGACGGCCUUCGGGUUGUAAACCGCUUUCGCCUGUGACGAGGCGUGAGUGACGGUAAUGGGUAAAGAAGCACCGGCUAACUACGUG
This 468-nucleotide ribosomal RNA is filed under the name uncultured bacterium. Its description in RNAcentral is "partial 16S ribosomal RNA". It matches the Rfam family "Bacterial small subunit ribosomal RNA", at positions 28 to 507 of the family's 1533-position model. The record is from RNAcentral.